CAGCCGCCGCGGGAAUACGUAGGUGGCAAGCGUUGUCCGGAAUUAUUGGGCGUAAAGGGCUCGCAGGCGGUUUCUUAAGUCUGAUGUGAAAGCCCCCGGCUCAACCGGGGAGGGUCAUCGGAAACUGGGAAACUUGAGUGCAGAAGAGGAGAGUGGAAUUCCACGUGUAGCGGUGAAAUGCGUAGAGAUGUGGAGGAACACCAGUGGCGAAGGCGACUCUCUGGUCUGUAACUGACGCUGAGGAGCGAAAGCGUGGGGAGCGAACAGGAUUAGAUACCCGCGUAGUCCCUGUCUCUUAUAC
Molecule: ribosomal RNA, 301 nt
Filed under: uncultured bacterium
Lineage: Bacteria
Description: partial 16S ribosomal RNA
Rfam family: Bacterial small subunit ribosomal RNA
Source: RNAcentral